CCCUUAGAUGUCCGGGGCUGCACGCGCGCUACACUGAAGGAAUCAGCGUGCUAAAACCAUUGUCGAAAGGCAUUGGUAAACCCAUUAAAAUCCUACGUGAUUGGGAUCGGGAAUUGCAAUUAUUUCCCUUGAACGAGGAAUUCCCAGUAAGUGUGGGUCAUAAGCUCGCGUUGAUUACGUCCCUGCCCUUUGUACACACCGCCCGUCGCUGCCCGGGACUUAGCCGUUUCGAGAAAAGCGGGGACUGCUGCUGUCGGGGCUUUCGGGCCUUGGCUUCGGUGGAAACCGCUUUAAUCGCAGUGGCUUGAACCGGGCAAAAGUCGUAACA
This 328-nucleotide ribosomal RNA is filed under the name uncultured eukaryote. RNAcentral describes it as "partial 18S ribosomal RNA". It matches the Rfam family "Eukaryotic small subunit ribosomal RNA", at positions 1470 to 1796 of the family's 1831-position model. The record is from RNAcentral.